UCCUACCGGGAGCAGCAGUGGGGAAUAUUGGACAAUGGGCGCAAGCCUGAUCCAGCCAUGCCGCGUGAGUGAUGACGGCCUUAGGGUUGUAAAGCUCUUUCGGCGGGGACGAUAAUGACGGUACCCGCAGAAGAAGCCCCGGCUAACUUCGUGCCAGCAGCCGCGGUAAUACGAAGGGGGCUAGCGUUGUUCGGAAUCACUGGGCGUAAAGGGCGCGUAGGCGGCUUUGUCAGUCGGGGGUGAAAGCCUGUGGCUCAACCACAGAAUUGCCUUCGAUACUGCAAGGCUUGAGACCGGAAGAGGUUAGUGGAACUGCGAGUGUAGAGGUGAAAUUCGUAGAUAUUCGCAAGAACACCAGUGGCGAAGGCGGCUGACUGGUCCGGAUCUGACGCUGAGGUGCGAAAGCGUGGGGAGCAAACAGGAUUAGAUA
Molecule: ribosomal RNA, 430 nt
Filed under: Microvirga indica
Lineage: Bacteria; Pseudomonadati; Pseudomonadota; Alphaproteobacteria; Hyphomicrobiales; Methylobacteriaceae
Description: bacterial SSU rRNA
Rfam family: Bacterial small subunit ribosomal RNA
Source: RNAcentral